Apodemus sylvaticus (European woodmouse) is the source of this 1098-nucleotide long non-coding RNA. RefSeq lists it as uncharacterized. The record is from RefSeq and is a predicted model, not a curated record. The transcript has 3 exons. Lineage: Eukaryota; Metazoa; Chordata; Mammalia; Rodentia; Muridae.
UUCUAUUUAUGAGUAGCACCCAUCUUUCAGGGGAGGUUGGUUUGGGCUGGAGGAUGGUGCUUGGUUCCUGUGGAAGGCGAGGACUCUGAAUAGCUCUGAAUACAGGCCAUGCAGGUGCCCCUUUUUCAAGGGCCCACUAGUGACUGCAGUGCUCACCUGGUAUAAGGGCCAUGGUUGUUCCGUGCACUCUGCACUUGGGUGGGCCUAACCAGGCACUGUCCUCCAGAGAGGUGCAGGUUACUAUGGCAAGAGGGGAAGUGAAUGCUGAGAGGAAAUGCUCAGGAGGAACAUGGACGUCAUCGUGUGGGCAUGAGGUGCUACUUCCUCUUUUCUCCCCAGGGACCCCACCCUUACUCACAGCUGGUUGUCUACAUCUGAUGUUCCCUUCACAUUCCCCCUAGCUAAGAGCCUAUACAGCGACCCCUCCCUAAGACAAGCCUGCAGAGAAGAGGACUCACUCAGUGACACUGUGUGUUCUUGAGAGGCCACAUCCCAGAGUCAUGUAUGCAAAUACUUAGCCCAGACGACAUGUUCUUUCCAGCUUUGGAGGUCAUCUGUAUGCCCCAAGUAGUUCAUAUCCUCAAUAAAGCAGCCCGUGCAGGGUGCUGGGGGAGUGUCUGUCCCAAGCUUCUCUGUGCUCUGUGCUCGGCUGUUCUGGCAGGCUCUGGGUUCAGUUCCUUGGGUAUUCCCUGUGCCAACACUUAGCGGAUUAUCUGUCCUGGUUGGAACCCUUCAAGGACUACAUGGGGCCUGCGAGAGGGACUGGUGCCUUGGCUGAGUGGCCAGGAUGGCUGCUCACCUGAGCGUCUGUGGACUUGCCUGGGUAGAGACGAACUCAGUGUUUGCCAAACCAAGAUCUGGAUUCAGACAUCGUGCAUUUCCACAGAGAAUGUUCACCUGAGGACCGCACUCUAUAGUGAGCAGAAGUUGCUUGACCACACACUCUUUGUGAGUUUUCAGUUGCCUCAGAGGUGGAGCACAUGCUUAGCUCGUGUGGGCCUGGGCUCUAUGUUCAGCACUGUAAAAUAAAACAAUAGUAUCAGCAGCGAAAACUCAGAGGCUCUCUCCAUGGUUUGGCGUCCUGCAUUUUAACUUAGA